This is a non-coding RNA of Equus caballus (horse), 84 nucleotides long. Lineage: Eukaryota; Metazoa; Chordata; Mammalia; Perissodactyla; Equidae. The record is from Rfam.
UGUGUGCAGGGCCCUGCCCAGAAUGGUGCUGACUACGUAGAUUAAGUGUAGUCAGUGCCAUCUGGGUAGAGCGAUGCUCAACAU